CGGGGAAUAUUGCGCAAUGGGCGAAAGCCUGACGCAGCAACGCCGCGUGAGGGAUGAAGGCUCUCGGGUUGUAAACCUCUUUCAGCAGGGACGAUUGUGACGGUACCUGCAGAAGAAGCCCCGGCCAACUACGUGCCAGCAGCCGCGGUAACACGUAGGGGGCGAGCGUUGUCCGGAUUUAUUGGGCGUAAAGAGCUCGUAGGCGGUUUGGUAAGUCGGGUGUGAAAACUCUGGGCUCAACUCAGAGACGCCACCCGAUACUGCUAUGACUUGAGUCCGGUAGGGGAGUAUGGAAUUUCCGGUGUAGCGGUGAAAUGCGCAGAUAUCGGAAGGAACACCAGUAGCGAAGGCGGUACUCUGGGCCGGAACUGACGCUGAGGAGCGAAAGCGUGGGGAGCGAACAGGAUUA
RNAcentral lists this ribosomal RNA (409 nucleotides) under uncultured bacterium. RNAcentral's name for it is "bacterial SSU rRNA". It matches the Rfam family "Bacterial small subunit ribosomal RNA", at positions 355 to 780 of the family's 1533-position model. The record is from RNAcentral.